GGGGCUGUAGCUCAGUUGGCAGAGCGCCUGGCUCGCAUUCAGGAGGCCACGGGUUCGAGUCCCGUCAGCUCCACCA
Molecule: transfer RNA, 76 nt
Filed under: Blastocatellia bacterium
Lineage: Bacteria; Pseudomonadati; Acidobacteriota; Blastocatellia
Also listed under: 2 other names
Description: tRNA-Ala
Rfam family: tRNA
About the family: Transfer RNA (tRNA) molecules are approximately 80 nucleotides in length. Their secondary structure includes four short double-helical elements and three loops (D, anti-codon, and T loops). Further hydrogen bonds mediate the characteristic L-shaped molecular structure. tRNAs have two regions of fundamental functional importance: the anti-codon, which is responsible for specific mRNA codon recognition, and the 3' end, to which the tRNAs corresponding amino acid is attached (by aminoacyl-tRNA synthetases). tRNAs cope with the degeneracy of the genetic code in two manners: having more than one tRNA (with a specific anti-codon) for a particular amino acid; and 'wobble' base-pairing, i.e. permitting non-standard base-pairing at the 3rd anti-codon position.
Source: RNAcentral